GCCGAUGGCGACCGGCGCACGGGUGAGUAACACGUAUCCAACCUGCCGUCUACUCUUGGACAGCCUUCUGAAAGGAAGAUUAAUACAAGAUGGCAUCAUGAGUCCGCAUGUUCACAUGAUUAAAGGUAUUCCGGUAGACGAUGGGGAUGCGUUCCAUUAGAUAGUAGGCGGGGUAACGGCCCACCUAGUCUUCGAUGGAUAGGGGUUCUGAGAGGAAGGUCCCCCACAUUGGAACUGAGACACGGUCCAAACUCCUACGGGAGGCAGCAGUGAGGAAUAUUGGUCAAUGGGCGAGAGCCUGAACCAGCCAAGUAGCGUGAAGGAUGACUGCCCUAUGGGUUGUAAACUUCUUUUAUAAAGGAAUAAAGUCGGGUAUGGAUACCCGUUUGCAUGUACUUUAUGAAUAAGGAUCGGCUAACUCCGUGCCAGCAGCCGCGGUAAUACGGAGGAUCCGAGCGUUAUCCGGAUUUAUUGGGUUUAAAGGGAGCGUAGAUGGAUGUUUAAGUCAGUUGUGAAAGUUUGCGGCUCAACCGUAAAAUUGCAGUUGAUACUGGAUAUCUUGAGUGCAGUUGAGGCAGGCGGAAUUCGUGGUGUAGCGGUGAAAUGCUUAGAUAUCACGAAGAACUCCGAUUGCGAAGGCAGCCUGCUAAGCUGCAACUGACAUUGAGGCUCGAAAGUGUGGGUAUCAAACAGGAUUAGAUACCCUGGUAGUCCACACGGUAAACGAUGAAUACUCGCUGUUUGCGAUAUACUGCAAGCGGCCAAGCGAAAGCGUUAAGUAU
RNAcentral lists this ribosomal RNA (782 nucleotides) under uncultured bacterium. RNAcentral describes it as "bacterial SSU rRNA". It matches the Rfam family "Bacterial small subunit ribosomal RNA", at positions 84 to 867 of the family's 1533-position model. The record is from RNAcentral.